UACGUAGGGUGCGAGCGUUGUCCGGAAUUAUUGGGCGUAAAGAGCUCGUAGGCGGUGUGUCACGUCGGCCGUGAAAACCUGCAGCUUAACUGUGGGCGUGCGGUCGAUACGGGCAUCACUGGAGUUCGGCAGGGGAGACUGGAAUUCCUGGUGUAGCGGUGAAAUGCGCAGAUAUCAGGAGGAACACCGGUGGCGAAGGCGGGUCUCUGGGCCGAUACUGACGCUGAGGAGCGAAAGCGUGGGGA
This 245-nucleotide ribosomal RNA is filed under the name uncultured Pseudonocardia sp. Its description in RNAcentral is "partial 16S ribosomal RNA". It matches the Rfam family "Bacterial small subunit ribosomal RNA", at positions 524 to 767 of the family's 1533-position model. Lineage: Bacteria; Bacillati; Actinomycetota; Actinomycetes; Pseudonocardiales; Pseudonocardiaceae. The record is from RNAcentral.